UACGUAGGGGGCAAGCGUUGUCCGGAAUCAUUGGGCGUAAAGAGCGGGUAGGCGGCCCGAUAAGUCCGCUGUGAAAGUCCAGGGCUCAACCCUGGGAUGCCGGUGGAUACUGUCGGGCUCGAGUCCGGAAGAGGAGUGUGGAAUUCCCGGUGUAGCGGUGAAAUGCGCAGAUAUCGGGAAGAACACCCGUGGCGAAGGCGGCUCUCUGGGACGGUACUGACGCUGAGACGCGAAAGCGUGGGGAGCAAACAGG
Molecule: ribosomal RNA, 253 nt
Filed under: uncultured bacterium
Lineage: Bacteria
Description: partial 16S ribosomal RNA
Rfam family: Bacterial small subunit ribosomal RNA
Source: RNAcentral